UACAGAGGUCCCAAGCGUUGUUCGGAUUUACUGGGCGUAAAGGGUGCGUAGGUGGUUGGGUAAGUUUGAUGUGAAAUCUCCGAGCUUAACUCGGAAAUGGCAUUGAAUACUAUUCGGCUAGAGGUUUGGAGGGGGGACUGGAAUUCUUGGUGUAGCAGUGAAAUGCGUAGAUAUCAAGAGGAACACCAGUGGCGAAGGCGAGUCCCUGGACAACACCUGACACUGAGGCACGAAAGCUAGGGGAGCAAACAGG
This 253-nucleotide ribosomal RNA is filed under the name uncultured bacterium. Its description in RNAcentral is "partial 16S ribosomal RNA". It matches the Rfam family "Bacterial small subunit ribosomal RNA", at positions 524 to 776 of the family's 1533-position model. The record is from RNAcentral.